Molecule: ribosomal RNA, 406 nt
Filed under: uncultured bacterium
Lineage: Bacteria
Description: partial 16S ribosomal RNA
Rfam family: Bacterial small subunit ribosomal RNA
Source: RNAcentral
AUCGAACGCUGGCGGCAGGCUUAACACAUGCAAGUCGAACGAGCGGCGGACGGGUGACUAAUGUCUGGGAAACUGCCUGAUGGAGUGGGAUAACUACUGGAAACGGUAGCUAAUACCGCAUACCCUCAGAUGUGCCCAGAUGGGAUUAGCUAGUAGGUGGGGUAACGGCUCACCUAGGCGACGAUCCCUAGCUGGUCUGAGAGGAUGACCAGCCACACUGGAACUGAGACACGGUCCAGACUCCUACGGAAGGAAGCAGUGGGGAAUAUUGCGCAAUGGGGACAACCCUGACGCAGCCAUGCCGCGUGAAUGAAGAAGGCCUUCGGGUUGUAAAGUUCUUUCGGUGAUGAGGCGUUAAUCACAGAAGAAGCACCGGCUGGCUCCGUGCCAGCAGCCGCGGUAAUUC